UACGUAGGGGGCGAGCGUUGUCCGGAUUCAUUGGGCGUAAAGCGCGCGCAGGCGGCCAGAAGAGCCCGGCGUGAAAGCCCCCGGCUCAACCGGGGGAGGUCGUCGGGGACCUUUUGGCUGGAGGCCGGCAGGGGCGAGCGGAAUUCCCGGUGUAGUGGUGGAAUGCGUAGAGAUCGGGAGGAACACCAGUGGCGAAGGCGGCUCGCUGGGCCGGUCCUGACGCUCAGGCGCGAAAGCGUGGGGAGCGAUCCGG
This 253-nucleotide ribosomal RNA is filed under the name uncultured bacterium. RNAcentral describes it as "partial 16S ribosomal RNA". It matches the Rfam family "Bacterial small subunit ribosomal RNA", at positions 524 to 776 of the family's 1533-position model. The record is from RNAcentral.